Long non-coding RNA from Solanum lycopersicum (tomato), 458 nucleotides. RefSeq lists it as uncharacterized. The record is from RefSeq and is a predicted model, not a curated record. Lineage: Eukaryota; Viridiplantae; Streptophyta; Magnoliopsida; Solanales; Solanaceae.
UUAUAUACUUUUGGGUGUAUAUAAUUCAUUUAACAGGUCAUUAACUCAUUCCAAAUCCUCUCUCACGAAUUACACAUUUUCCUCCAAAAUAUUCUUCCUUGAAACCACCAUUGUUGGUUAAGCUCAAUAACAGCUUGAAGCUUGAAUCUUCAUGGAUAAAUCAUCAAUUUUUAAUGUUUUACAAUUUUAUAAAGGUUAUGGAUGCUUAAAGGAUGUCCAUGAUUGAGGAGCUUGAUAUGUGAUUCCAAAGAACAAGGAAAGGGGUCCUUAAGUUCCAAGGAUUCCCUACUCAUGUCUUAAUGUAAAAUUUAUUAAAAGUUAUAUAGUUAUGCCUUAUGUUUUAAGGGUUGUGUCCCUAAUAUAUUCUAAGGUUGUUGGCUAAGAUGGCAAAGAUACUUAAGGUCUAAAUAUGUAUUAUGACUUAUAUUUUAUAUGUAUACGAAGUGAUGUUGCCAGCA